Molecule: long non-coding RNA, 549 nt
Filed under: Nicotiana tabacum (common tobacco)
Lineage: Eukaryota; Viridiplantae; Streptophyta; Magnoliopsida; Solanales; Solanaceae
Description: long non-coding RNA (NTAB_LNC003753)
Source: RNAcentral
AGAAGUUCGAACCCUUAAAAGAUGUACUAAAAUUUUAGCAGUCCAUUUUCCCUGAAACAACAAUUUAACUGCUGCUAAAUCCAAAAUUGUAACCUAUAAUGAACGAAAAUCUGUCCGAAAAAGGAAAAAAAAAACAGAAAUGUUUAACGAGCAGCUUCGUUAAUACAAAAUUUAAAACCUCAUAUUGUAAAUGAAUCAACUACACUAUAAGCUAUCAGGUGUCAAGUUCACAUAGGCAGUGUAACACAGUAUUAUAAAUGUAACACAAAAAUUAAACUGAAAUGAAGAAUAGCGGCGAAACUGAAUUAAGUGAAAAUGAAAAAUACAGAUCUAUAUGUAAUAGUGGAAAUUGAAUGGGAGAAGAGUGAGCUGAUACCUAAAAUUGCGAGGAGAGAGAAGUGGAGGAAGGAGGUUAGGGUUUCAAACCCUAGAGCGACAUCGCCAAUAGCUGAGAAUGAGAUGGAUGGAUUUUUUGAAGAGAAAAGGGACGAUUCAACGUUCAAGCGGCUGCUGCUAUAAACGCGUGUUAAGCUGAAGAAUGCAUUUCCA